RNAcentral lists this ribosomal RNA (370 nucleotides) under uncultured bacterium. Its description in RNAcentral is "bacterial SSU rRNA". It matches the Rfam family "Bacterial small subunit ribosomal RNA", at positions 527 to 896 of the family's 1533-position model. The record is from RNAcentral.
GUACGGCGCAAGCGUUAUCCGGAUUUACUGGGUGUAAAGGGAGCGCAGGCGGUGCGGCAAGUCUGAUGUGAAAACCCGGGGCUCAACCCCGGGACUGCAUUGGAAACUGUUCAUCUAGAGUGCUGGAGAGGUAAGUGGAAUUCCUAGUGUAGCGGUGAAAUGCGUAGAUAUUAGGAGGAACACCAGUGGCGAAGGCGGCUUACUGGACAGUAACUGACGUUGAGGCUCGAAAGCGUGGGGAGCAAACAGGAUUAGAUACCCUGGUAGUCCACGCCGUAAACGACGACUACUAGGUGUCGGGUGGCAAAGCCAUUCGGUGCCGCAGCAAACGCAAUAAGUAGUCCACCUGGGGAGUACGUUCGCAAGAAUG